RNAcentral lists this long non-coding RNA (2607 nucleotides) under Sus scrofa (pig). RNAcentral's name for it is "lncRNA (ENSSSCG00015065673.1)". The stretch from base 43 to 156 matches the Rfam family "Potassium channel RNA editing signal". The record is from RNAcentral. Lineage: Eukaryota; Metazoa; Chordata; Mammalia; Artiodactyla; Suidae.
AUCCCGGAUGCCUUCUGGUGGGCUGUGGUAACCAUGACAACGGUAGGCUACGGUGACAUGCACCCGGUGACCAUAGGGGGCAAGAUUGUAGGGUCACUCUGUGCCAUCGCUGGUGUCUUGACCAUUGCUUUGCCAGUCCCUGUGAUCGUCUCCAACUUCAAUUACUUCUAUCACCGGGAGACGGAAGGGGAAGAGCAAGCCCAGUACAUGCACGUGGGAAGUUGCCAGCACCUCUCCUCUUCAGCCGAGGAGCUCCGGAAAGCGAGGAGUAACUCCACUCUGAGUAAGUCGGAGUAUAUGGUGAUCGAAGAGGGGGGUAUGAACCAUAGCGCUUUCCCCCAGACCCCCUUCAAAACGGGCAAUUCCACGGCCACUUGCACCACGAACAAUAAUCCCAACUCCUGUGUCAACAUCAAAAAGAUAUUCACCGAUGUUUAACAUAUAAAACAAGUGACAUGCUGUGCUCGGUAUUGUGUGGACCGUGCCCCCUUGGUCUGUGUAUGCCCUUGUUUUAUACAUUUCCAGACCAUUCAUCAAGGAAAGGACACGAAGAAGUGGAAAGCACUCUUCAUUCUCCCUUCUCCCUACUGCUUCAUACUGAAACAGGUGUCUGUUUUGCCAGUGGGCUGCAUUCUCUCAGCUCUCCCUCCCCCUUUUUCUUUCCUCUCCUUCUCUUAAUAUUUUGGACGACAAACUUACUUUAAACUUGAUUUUUAGCACACGCUCUGUUAAAAAAAAAAAAAACAACUGUACAUCCUGGGAGGAAAUGAAACUAAAGAACAGUUAGAGUAACUGUUUAACCUCAUAAUCGAAAGGCAGUUGUUUCUUUACUAAGUAAAGCAAGCACAUACAUAAAUGAUGCUUUCUUUUGAUGGACACUUCCAACAUUAUUGAAUAUUUCGUUCAGUUGCCUACACUGUGGAUAUGUGGAUGAAAAGUCUUAAUUGGAACUGUGACUUGUAAACCCACCGUAAGUUUAUUUGGUUUUCACCUGGAAUUUCUAUUUGGAACCCGCCCCCUCCUGGAAUUUUAAGGACCUCUGCAACUCUGAACAAAGGGAAAUGCCCAAGAUGUCCUGAUCUAAUUAGUUUAAUUCUUUGGGACUUGUUAAGCAUUUCAAAAGAAUUAGACUAACAGAUUCCUGUGAAAUUCUGUGUGUGUUCCAGCUAACAUCCAUCAAAGUCUAGAAACAGAUGUUUUCAGUGCUGCUGAGAGAAACAAAAAAAUGUCCUAAUGCAUCUGAGAGAUAAGCUUCUGCAGUAUCACAAGAAGAUUAAAGUGGCAGACACUCCUUCCAGCGGAAGUUACUAAUUCGGACCUGACUGAUGCAGUUCCCAUAGCAACCUGUGUUUCCCGGGAAACCCGAAAAGGUUGUCAUGGCAUCUCUUGCUCUCUAGCCCCACCCCCUAGCCCUUGCCGUUUCCACUGUAACCUUUCCAGAUGGUUCCUACUUACAUGAUUUCACAAGGAAAACCGCUAUUUGAAUAAACCGCACAAAUAAAGUUCAGUCUGAGAAACUGAGGUGGUGAAAUGAAUUACAAAAAUGCAUAUUUGUACUACAAAAAAAAUCACUGAUGUCAUCCCCAUAAUUACUGAAUCGACAAGGAAAAUAUCGUCAUUGGAAUGUUAAAUAUACCCCACAAUAAGCCAUGAUUUGAAUUAAAUACCAGUAAUUAGGCAAUCAUUUUAAAAGAUGCUUCUCUACUGUUUUCUUUCCCCCAAGAAGUUUCAAGUCAACAAAUGAAAUUAAAAAGCAAAUGUAAAUGUGUUCUGCACAUAAGCAAAUGCAAGAUGCAAUCCGUUAUACCUGAAACCUUACUACAAGGGACCUUCAGAUUUCCUCUUUAAAAAAAAAAAAAAUCCAGAUUCCACAACAACACUAUCACUAUCACAGCCCUUGAAAAACUAAAUGUGCUUGAAAACUAUAAAGGAUGCACUCUUUUAACUAAGGGAAUUGCAGACAAUCAAUAAAAAGGAGGGACAGGAAGUAACCAAACCUUGGAGAAAUACCUGCAAGAUUCAGCCUUGUGCCAGGGGUUGCCAGAAGACAGACAGUAUCAGAUACCCGAGGAGCCCCACAUAAAGAAGUGUAGAGCUGAACCAACCAGUAGGAUGCACAUUCCAAAUUGCCUACAUCAAGAAUACAGUGUAGGUUGUAUCAUGGAUGGGCGAUGAUCUGUCGGCCAGCACAUAUUUUUGUUCCAGUUGACAUUAAAUAACAUCUCUCGCUAACGAAUGCUUCAUAUAAAGGAAACAGCUCUGAGGCCAGAGGAUUUUCUUCAGAUUGUGUGCAAUAUAAAAGGUUGACCAAGAGAUAAAGAAGAACAUUAAAAAUUACUAAGUGGGUAACGAAUCCGACUAGGAACCAUGAGGUUGCGGGUUCGAUCCCUGGCCUUGCUCAGUGGGUUAAGGAUCCAGUGUUGCUGUGAGCUGUGGUGUAGGUUGCAGACAUGGCUCGGAUCUGGCGUUGCUGUGGCUCUGAUGUAGGCCAGCAGCUACAGCUCGGAUUCGACCCCUAGCCUGGGAGCCUCCAUAUGCCGCAGGAGCAGCCCAAGAAAUGGCAAAAAGACAAACAAACAACAAACAGCCAAAAAAAAAAAAAAAAAA